This 301-nucleotide ribosomal RNA is filed under the name uncultured eukaryote. RNAcentral describes it as "SSU rRNA". It matches the Rfam family "Eukaryotic small subunit ribosomal RNA", at positions 4 to 304 of the family's 1831-position model. The record is from RNAcentral.
CUGGUUGAUCCUGCCAGUAGUCAUAUGCUUGUCUCAAAGAUUAAGCCAUGCAUGUCUAAGUGUAAAUACGUCUACACUGUGAAACUGCGAAUGGCUCAUUAAAUCAGUUAUCGUUUAUUUGAUGAUCUCUUGUUACAUGGAUAACCGUAGUAAUUCUUGAGCUAAUACAUGCGAAAAAUCUCGACUCACGGAGAGAUGCUUUUAUUAGAUCAAAACCAAACGGCUUCGGCCGUAACAUUGGUGACUCUGAAUAACUUUGGGCUGAUCGUAUGGCCUUGUGCCGACGACGUUUCCUUCGAAG